This is a long non-coding RNA of Bombus impatiens (common eastern bumble bee), 885 nucleotides long. RefSeq lists it as uncharacterized. NCBI's taxonomy places the organism in Eukaryota, Metazoa, Arthropoda, Insecta, Hymenoptera, Apidae. The transcript is spliced from 2 exons. The record is from RefSeq and is a predicted model, not a curated record.
AAAGUAAUACUAUAUAACGUAAUACAUUAUAACAUAAUAUAAUAUAACGUAAUGCAAUUUUACGUAAUACGAUAUAACGUAAUACAAUAUGAAUGAGAUGUAGAACGUGAAAGGUGCCUAAUGAAUACUCGGCGCUUUGUUCAACAGUUUAUUUAUUUGCUUUACUAGCAACUUCAUAACUCUCGACUCGCGACUCCUACUGACGACUGCCUACUUACAACUGUUCUUUUGAUCCACUUGCUUUCCUUUGUCAUCUUUCGAUAUCCCCACUAUGCUCGUUUUUAUAUCCGUCCGCGAUCAUGGUAACAUACGCCUUCUGCCCAGUAUUUGUACGAAGGGCAAAACGUAAUAUAAUAUAACGUAAUAUAAAAUAUCGUAAUACAAUAUACCGUAAUACAUUAUAACGUAACACAAUGUAACGUAAUAUUAUAUAACGUAAUACAUUAUAACGUAGUACUAUAUAACGUAAUACAUUAUAACGUAAUACAAUGUAACGUAAUAUUAUAUAACGUAAUACAUUAUAACAUAAUAAUAACGUAAUAACGCGGAAUUAAUUUCUUUAUGAGAAAUUUAAAAAAUUAUAUUUUUCGGUCUAUAAGGCGAAUUCUUGAAUUAUUCAGGAAUUAAAUUGAAGCUGAAAUUCUCAGAAAUUAUCUAUGUAGAAUUACACGAAAUUAGUGCAGUGCUCUACUUUGUAUACAGUGGUGCAGUCUACCAGUGAAUCGAUGAUGUUUUGGGUGAAUCAAGAAAUAUCGAGGCCUCUUUUACUAACUCUUUUAAAGAUAAUUUUGUAACUGAAGAAUUACACAACUUUUCUGCACGUUGAUUAUGUAAAUUAAGCGAAGAAGCAAUGUGUUCGGAUGGCUUUACUAUAGCAGUAGAUUU